This 74-nucleotide transfer RNA is filed under the name bacterium CG2_30_54_10. RNAcentral's name for it is "tRNA-Arg". It matches the Rfam family "tRNA". Rfam says of the family: Transfer RNA (tRNA) molecules are approximately 80 nucleotides in length. The record is from RNAcentral.
GCGCCUGUAGCUCAGCUGGAUAGAGCACCAGAUUGCGAAUCUGGCGGUCAGAGGUUCGAAUCCUCCCAGGCGCG